AUUGAACGCUGGCGGCAGGCCUAACACAUGCAAGUCGAGCGGCUGAGGGGUAAUGGCUCGGGAUUACGGGGGGGGAGGGGGGGUAAGUGCAUGGAAACUUCCGGGUCUACGGGGUCUACGGUCGGAAACGGGGGCUAAUUACGCCAAUGCCCCGUAGGAGCAACGGGUGGAAUCUUGGGACCUUCGGUCCUUGCUCGGUCGAGGUCGGAUUAGCUAGUUGGUGGGGUAAAGGCCUACCAAGGCGACGAUCCGUAACUGGUCUGAGAGGAUGAUCAGUCACACUGGAACUGAGACACGGUCCAGACUCCUACGGGAGGCAGCAGUGGGGAAUAUUGGACAAAGGGCGAAAGCCUGAUCCAGCCAUGCCGCGUGUGUGAAGAAGGUCUUCGGAUUGUAAAGCACUUUAAGUUGGGAAGAAGGGCAGUAAGUUAAUACCUUGCUGUUUUGACGUUACCAACAGAAUAAGCACCGGCUAACUUCGUG
Molecule: ribosomal RNA, 483 nt
Filed under: uncultured bacterium
Lineage: Bacteria
Description: partial 16S ribosomal RNA
Rfam family: Bacterial small subunit ribosomal RNA
Source: RNAcentral